This 605-nucleotide ribosomal RNA is filed under the name Bacillus altitudinis. RNAcentral's name for it is "bacterial SSU rRNA". It matches the Rfam family "Bacterial small subunit ribosomal RNA", at positions 405 to 1001 of the family's 1533-position model. The record is from RNAcentral. Lineage: Bacteria; Bacillati; Bacillota; Bacilli; Caryophanales; Bacillaceae. RNAcentral also lists the same sequence under 1 other name.
GUGAUGAAGGUUUUCGGAUCGUAAAGCUCUGUUGUUAGGGAAGAACAAGUGCAAGAGUAACUGCUUGCACCUUGACGGUACCUAACCAGAAAGCCACGGCUAACUACGUGCCAGCAGCCGCGGUAAUACGUAGGUGGCAAGCGUUGUCCGGAAUUAUUGGGCGUAAAGGGCUCGCAGGCGGUUUCUUAAGUCUGAUGUGAAAGCCCCCGGCUCAACCGGGGAGGGUCAUUGGAAACUGGGAAACUUGAGUGCAGAAGAGGAGAGUGGAAUUCCACGUGUAGCGGUGAAAUGCGUAGAGAUGUGGAGGAACACCAGUGGCGAAGGCGACUCUCUGGUCUGUAACUGACGCUGAGGAGCGAAAGCGUGGGGAGCGAACAGGAUUAGAUACCCUGGUAGUCCACGCCGUAAACGAUGAGUGCUAAGUGUUAGGGGGUUUCCGCCCCUUAGUGCUGCAGCUAACGCAUUAAGCACUCCGCCUGGGGAGUACGGUCGCAAGACUGAAACUCAAAGGAAUUGACGGGGGCCCGCACAAGCGGUGGAGCAUGUGGUUUAAUUCGAAGCAACGCGAAGAACCUUACCAGGUCUUGACAUCCUCUGACAACCCU